UACCUAGGGGGCAAGCGUUAUCCGGAAUUAUUGGGUGUAAAGGGUGCGUAGACGGAGAAACAAGUUGGUUGUGAAAUCCCUCGGCUCAACCGAGGAACUGCAACCAAAACUAUUUCCCUUGAGUGUCGGAGAGGAAAGUGGAAUUCCUAGUGUAGCGGUGAAAUGCGUAGAUAUUAGGAGGAACACCAGUGGCGAAGGCGACUUCCUGGACGAUAACUGACGUUGAGGCACGAAAGUGUGGGGAGCAAACAGG
This 253-nucleotide ribosomal RNA is filed under the name uncultured bacterium. Its description in RNAcentral is "partial 16S ribosomal RNA". It matches the Rfam family "Bacterial small subunit ribosomal RNA", at positions 524 to 776 of the family's 1533-position model. The record is from RNAcentral.